RNAcentral lists this transfer RNA (73 nucleotides) under Cordylochernes scorpioides. RNAcentral describes it as "tRNA-Phe". The record is from RNAcentral. Lineage: Eukaryota; Metazoa; Arthropoda; Arachnida; Pseudoscorpiones; Chernetidae.
UGCCGAAACCCGGGAUCGAACCAGGGACCUUUAGAUGUUCAGUCUAACGCUAUUUCAAUUGAGCUAUUUCGGC